UUUACUCCGUUCCAUCGUCUUUCCCUACUGCGCUUCUUCUCCAAUCGUAAUUUUCUCUGCUCUAUCGUCUUUCCCUGCUAUACUUCUUCUCCAACAAUUCUCGAUUUCUCUCCGGGAUUCUCUUUUGUGAAUAUCAAUAUUUCUGGUGAGUCUUUCUGUAAUAUUGUACUGCCCUUUUUCUGUUUGCUUUGCUUCCUGUUUAGUCGGUUUUUGACUGAGCAUAUAUCUGUAUAGUAGAAAUUGUUUGUGGUUCUGUUGGUUCUUGAAUAGACCACUGAAGGGUCUUUCUUUGGGUUCCUGAAUGUAUUAUGGUCAAAUUUGAUUAUAUCUUGUACAGAUUGAAUUGGUACACUUCUAAUAAAACUCAUAUGAUCACUGAAAUUGCAAAAGAGUGUGGGAUAGAUUUCCAAAGAAAAUCUUUAUUUUAUUUUGCUACAAAAUAGCUGCGUCCGAAGGUAAAACUUUGGGUAUCGCGGCAUCGAAAGGUAAGCACCACAGUAUGAUAAGAUUCUUCUUGAAUGGCUGUGUGUCUCUUUGUUUGUGCCGAGUGAGUACUUUACCGACGCCCACAAGCUGUUUGUUUUUCUGCCUCUGUCAAUAUCAAUGUCGUGAGCUUACUUUUAAGGGCGGCUAUGUGAAACCUUGAACGCAAGAUCAAACUGGAGAAUUUACAUAAUCAUCGUGAACUAACAAAAAAAUAUCAUCUUUAAUAUUAGUCAUCAUUAAAUAAAUUGAGAAAACUUGACACGAUCAAACUAGCUUCUGCCCUUUGCUUCAUUAGGUGUGUGUAUAAUAUCCUCUAAGAACUUUAUUGAUGUAUCUAAAAAAAUUGUUCACAUGGUAUUUAUUGCUAUAGUAGCAAGAACCUCUUGGCCAAGUGAUAAAGUUAAAAUUUAAACCAAAAGCAAACAAUGGAAAUACCAAUCAGACACCAGCCUACGUAGAAACUUUCCUCAGACAUAGCAAUGAAGGCCCAUAUGAGUAUAUUGAUCUAAAAUCUAAGUUGAAAUGCAUUUGUCAAAGGACAUACAUUGCCUCUUCAAUACAACGCAUAUUCCAUUGUCUUAGAUUCAAUAUGAAGUUACUGAGUUAGUGAAUUGUGUAACAGAACAUUAUCCUUUAUUCUCCGGUAGGAAAUAAGUAAUCAUAUCUCCCUGUUGUGUCUAUCAUGUUGCAAUAUUUGUAAUAUCUUUUCUCUACUUAGUUACAGAGUAAGUAUGCCAACAUAGAAAAAAUUCUGUAUAUUCCAAAUAGGCUAGAAUUUCCUUGAUAUGAUAAUCAUUUUUUUAAAAAGAAAAACAAAUACCUUGCAAAUUUUCAGCUUUUCGAAAACUAAUUGGCAAAAUAAUAUGAAAUAGAAUUUAAAUGGGAAAGAUUAGUGGUUUCUGGAGACUACUGAAUACGAAUUAAGGAUCAUGAAGUUUUAUAACAAUAAAAUGAUUCAAAGUAAGUCUUGAUUUUGUUUUCUUAACCUUGACUAUCAAUGGUUGGAGGUAGUAUGAUAACAUUGUCCUGGGUUUCUUCUGAAAGAUUAGUUACCUAGCUGGAGGUAGUUUUAUUUAAAUUGUUGAAAUUGCAAAUGUCGACAGACAAUAAAACCAAAGCGUCAACUAACUGCCCACCAAAAAAGAAGUGCCAGUACUCAGCAGAAAUAAUGUCUAAAAUCAAGCUUAGGAGACGUGACCUGUAUAAACAGUUACCAGUUGAUAAAAAAGAGUCGCUUCUAUCACAGCGACGAUUAAAAGAGCUUGAAUAAAAAAAAAACAGCACGUACUGAUUGAUUACACUGAAGAAGAGUCAUUUUUCCAAGCUGGGGCUAACUUGCGUAAGCAAAGAACUCUCACGAUAAACGAACCAUCUUCUGUUGGUAACAAAGGUACGAAAUGAAAAGAAGGUAUAGUUCUUACAUGAAAAUAUGUGUUGCUUUGAUGGUAGUGUUUACAUUAAAUUUUCUAAUGGUAAACAUGUUUUGCUUCCUAUAUUAGUUGAUAUAUCUGCAUUUGACGGGGCAUCAAUCGAUUCUAACAA
This 2028-nucleotide long non-coding RNA is filed under the name Nicotiana tabacum (common tobacco). RNAcentral describes it as "long non-coding RNA (NTAB_LNC004052)". The record is from RNAcentral. Lineage: Eukaryota; Viridiplantae; Streptophyta; Magnoliopsida; Solanales; Solanaceae.